This is a non-coding RNA of Oryza barthii, 178 nucleotides long. The record is from Rfam. Lineage: Eukaryota; Viridiplantae; Streptophyta; Magnoliopsida; Poales; Poaceae.
UAGUAUGGUUUCACGAUGAAUGGGUUCACCCAUGAUAUAGCAUGGUUGUUCCACUUAGAACGAGGACGUACCAUCCUAUUAUCAGCCAUCGCACAAAAUUAAUAGGAUGCCACAUCCUCAACCUAAGUGGAAUAACCACGUCAUUUCAUAGGUGAAUCUAUUCAUUAAUAGUGUAGUU